This 1106-nucleotide ribosomal RNA is filed under the name uncultured bacterium. RNAcentral's name for it is "bacterial SSU rRNA". It matches the Rfam family "Bacterial small subunit ribosomal RNA", at positions 385 to 1501 of the family's 1533-position model. The record is from RNAcentral.
GAUCCAGCCAUGCCGCGUGCAGGAAGACGGCCCUAUGGGUUGUAAACUGCUUUUGUAUGGGAGCAAUAAGGUCUACGUGUAGGCUGAUGAGAGUACCAUACGAAUAAGGACCGGCUAACUCCGUGCCAGCAGCCGCGGUAAUACGGAGGGUCCGAGCGUUAUCCGGAUUUAUUGGGUUUAAAGGGUGCGUAGGCGGUUUUAUAAGUCAGCGGUGAAAUUCUCCGGCUCAACCGGGGGACUGCCGUUGAUACUGUAAGGCUAGGAUAUGGUUGCUGUGGGUGGAAUGUGUGGUGUAGCGGUGAAAUGCUUAGAGAUCACACAGAAUAUCGAUUGCGAAGGCAGCUCACAAAGCCAUCAUUGACGCUGAGGCACGAAAGUGUGGGGAUCAAACAGGAUUAGAUACCCUGGUAGUCCACACUGUAAACGAUGAUAACUCGCUGUCGGCGAUAUAAAGUCGGUGGCCAAGCGAAAGCGAUAAGUUAUCCACCUGGGGAGUACGACCGCAAGGUUGAAACUCAAAGGAAUUGACGGGGGCCCGCACAAGCGGAGGAACAUGUGGUUUAAUUCGAUGAUACGCGAGGAACCUUACCCGGGCUCGAACGGUGCAGGAAUACUUCAGAGAUGGAGUAGCUAGCAAUAGUCUGUAUCGAGGUGCUGCAUGGUUGUCGUCAGCUCGUGCCGUGAGGUGUCGGCUUAAGUGCCAUAACGAGCGCAACCCUUGUCGUUAGUUGCCAUCAGGUAAAGCUGGGAACUCUAGCGAGACUGCCACCGUAAGGUGUGAGGAAGGGGGGGAUGACGUCAAAUCAGCACGGCCCUUACGUCCGGGGCGACACACGUGUUACAAUGGCAGGUACAGAGGGGAGCUACCCAGCGAUGGGGUGCGAAUCUCGAAAGCCUGUCUCAGUUCGGAUUGGAGUCUGCAACUCGACUCCAUGAAGUUGGAUUCGCUAGUAAUCGCGCAUCAGCCAUGGCGCGGUGAAUACGUUCCCGGGCCUUGUACACACCGCCCGUCAAGCCAUGGAAGCCGGGGGUGCCUGAAGUUCGUGACCGCAAGGAGCGACCGAGGGCAAAACUGGUAACUGGGGCUAAGUCGUAACAAGGUAGCC